RNAcentral lists this ribosomal RNA (308 nucleotides) under Idiomarina loihiensis. Lineage: Bacteria; Pseudomonadati; Pseudomonadota; Gammaproteobacteria; Alteromonadales; Idiomarinaceae. The record is from RNAcentral.
CGUUGAGCUAACCCGUACUAAUUGCCCGUGAGACUUAACCAUACAACACCCAAGGUGUUUGGGACGUUACGCACAAGCGAGCGACUUUACCGAAUAAGUAGCCUGAUGUUCACAUCAGGUGAGAUAGUGAAUUCAACAGAGUGGCUUUUACUUAAAAAAGCAGUCAGUUUUUACAUGUUGUGACAGUUUAUGUCUGGCGGCCAUAGCGGUGUGGCACCACCUGAAUCCAUUCCGAACUCAGAAGUGAAACACACCAGCGCCGAUGGUAGUGUGGGGUCUCCCCAUGCGAGAGUAGGUCACCGCCAGAC